This 399-nucleotide ribosomal RNA is filed under the name uncultured bacterium. Its description in RNAcentral is "bacterial SSU rRNA". It matches the Rfam family "Bacterial small subunit ribosomal RNA", at positions 509 to 908 of the family's 1533-position model. The record is from RNAcentral.
CAGCAGCCGCGGUAAUACGGAGGGUGCAAGCGUUAUCCGGAAUCACUGGGCGUAAAGGGCGCGUAGGCGGUCUGUUAAGUCCGAUGUUAAAGACUGGGGCUCAACCCCAGCAUUGCGUUGGAUACUGGCAGGCUGGACGGUUGGAGAGGCGGGUGGAAUUACCAGUGUAGCGGUGAAAUGCGUAGAUACUGGUAGGAACACCCAUUGCGAAGGCAGCUCGCUGGACAACACGUGACGCUGAGGCGCGAAAGUGUGGGGAGCAAACCGGAUUAGAUACCCUGGUAGUCCACGCCGUAAACUAUGGAUGCUAGCCGUCGGCAAGCUUGCUUGUCGGUGGCGCAGCUAACGCUUUAAGCAUCCCGCCUGGGGAGUACGGCCGCAAGGUUAAAACUCAAAGGA